Molecule: ribosomal RNA, 433 nt
Filed under: uncultured bacterium
Lineage: Bacteria
Description: partial 16S ribosomal RNA
Rfam family: Bacterial small subunit ribosomal RNA
Source: RNAcentral
AACGAACGCUGGCGGCAUGCCUAACACAUGCAAGUCGAACGAGACCUUCGGGUCUAGUGGCGCACGGGUGCGUAACGCGUCGGAACCUGCCCUUAGGUUCGGAAUAACUCUCCGAAAGGGGUGCUAAUACCGGAUAAUGUCUUCGGACCAAAGAUUUAUCGCGUUUGGAUGGGCCCGCGUUGGAUUAGCUAGUUGGUAGGGUAAAAGCCUAUCAAGGCGACGAUCCAUAGCUGGUCAGAGAGGAUGAGCAGCCACACUGGGACUGAGACACGGCCCAGACUCCUACGGGAGGCAGCAGUGGGGAAUAUUGGACAAUGGGCGAAAGCAUGAUGCAGCUAUGCCGGGUGAGUGAUGAAGGCCUUAGGGUUGUAAAGCUCUUUUACCCGGGAUGAUAAUGACAGUACCGGGAGAAUAAGCACCGGCUAACUCCGUG